This 792-nucleotide ribosomal RNA is filed under the name uncultured bacterium. RNAcentral's name for it is "bacterial SSU rRNA". It matches the Rfam family "Bacterial small subunit ribosomal RNA", at positions 75 to 868 of the family's 1533-position model. The record is from RNAcentral.
GUAGCAUACUUUGGUGAGAGUGGCGCACGGGUGCGUAACACGUAUGCAACCUACCUAUAACCGGGACACAACCUCGAGAAAUUGAGGCUAAUAUCCCAUAACACUGCGAGAUGGCAUCAUUCUGCAGUUAAAACUCCGGUGGUUAUAGAUGGGCAUGCGCGACAUUAGCUAGUUGGUGAGGUAACGGCCCACCAAGGCUACGAUGUCUAGGGGUUCUGAGAGGAUUAUCCCCCACACUGGUACUGAGACACGGACCAGACUCCUACGGGAGGCAGCAGUAAGGAAUAUUGGUCAAUGGGCGCAAGCCUGAACCAGCCAUGCCGCGUGAAGGAUGACGGCCCUAUGGGUUGUAAACUUCUUUUGUACGGGAAAAAACCUCUGGUCGUGAAUCAGAGCUGAUGGUACCGUAAGAAUAAGCAUCGGCUAACUCCGUGCCAGCAGCCGCGGUAAUACGGAGGAUGCAAGCGUUAUCCGGAUUCAUUGGGUUUAAAGGGUGCGCAGGCGGAAUAAUAAGUCAGCGGUGAAAGCCUACAGCUUAACUGUAGAACUGCCAUUGAUACUGUUAUUCUUGAGUGUUGUUGAGGUAGGCGGAAUGUGUCAUGUAGCGGUGAAAUGCUUAGAUAUGACACAGAACACCGAUCGCGAAGGCAGCUUACCAAGCAACAACUGACGCUCAUGCACGAAAGCGUGGGGAUCAAACAGGAUUAGAUACCCUGGUAGUCCACGCCGUAAACGAUGAUCACUCGAUGUUGGCGAUACACAGUCAGCGUCUUAGCGAAAGUAUUAAGUGAU